RNAcentral lists this ribosomal RNA (1529 nucleotides) under Klebsiella pneumoniae subsp. ozaenae. Its description in RNAcentral is "bacterial SSU rRNA". It matches the Rfam family "Bacterial small subunit ribosomal RNA". The record is from RNAcentral. Lineage: Bacteria; Pseudomonadati; Pseudomonadota; Gammaproteobacteria; Enterobacterales; Enterobacteriaceae.
AGAGUUUGAUCAUGGCUCAGAUUGAACGCUGGCGGCAGGCCUAACACAUGCAAGUCGAGCGGUAGCACAGAGAGCUUGCUCUCGGGUGACGAGCGGCGGACGGGUGAGUAAUGUCUGGGAAACUGCCUGAUGGAGGGGGAUAACUACUGGAAACGGUAGCUAAUACCGCAUAACGUCGCAAGACCAAAGUGGGGGACCUUCGGGCCUCAUGCCAUCAGAUGUGCCCAGAUGGGAUUAGCUAGUAGGUGGGGUAACGGCUCACCUAGGCGACGAUCCCUAGCUGGUCUGAGAGGAUGACCAGCCACACUGGAACUGAGACACGGUCCAGACUCCUACGGGAGGCAGCAGUGGGGAAUAUUGCACAAUGGGCGCAAGCCUGAUGCAGCCAUGCCGCGUGUGUGAAGAAGGCCUUCGGGUUGUAAAGCACUUUCAGUGGGGAGGAAGGCGUUAAGGUUAAUAACCUUGGCGAUUGACGUUACCCGCAGAAGAAGCACCGGCUAACUCCGUGCCAGCAGCCGCGGUAAUACGGAGGGUGCAAGCGUUAAUCGGAAUUACUGGGCGUAAAGCGCACGCAGGCGGUCUGUCAAGUCGGAUGUGAAAUCCCCGGGCUUAACCUGGGAACUGCAUUCGAAACUGGCAGGCUAGAGUCUUGUAGAGGGGGGGUAGAAUUCCAGGUGUAGCGGUGAAAUGCGUAGAGAUCUGGAGGAAUACCGGUGGCGAAGGCGGCCCCCUGGACAAAGACUGACGCUCAGGUGCGAAAGCGUGGGGAGCAAACAGGAUUAGAUACCCUGGUAGUCCACGCCGUAAACGAUGUCGAUUUGGAGGUUGUGCCCUUGAGGCGUGGCUUCCGGAGCUAACGCGUUAAAUCGACCGCCUGGGGAGUACGGCCGCAAGGUUAAAACUCAAAUGAAUUGACGGGGGCCCGCACAAGCGGUGGAGCAUGUGGUUUAAUUCGAUGCAACGCGAAGAACCUUACCUGGUCUUGACAUCCACAGAACUUUCCAGAGAUGGAUUGGUGCCUUCGGGAACUGUGAGACAGGUGCUGCAUGGCUGUCGUCAGCUCGUGUUGUGAAAUGUUGGGUUAAGUCCCGCAACGAGCGCAACCCUUAUCCUUUGUUGCCAGCGGUCCGGCCGGGAACUCAAAGGAGACUGCCAGUGAUAAACUGGAGGAAGGUGGGGAUGACGUCAAGUCAUCAUGGCCCUUACGACCAGGGCUACACACGUGCUACAAUGGCAUAUACAAAGAGAAGCGACCUCGCGAGAGCAAGCGGACCUCAUAAAGUAUGUCGUAGUCCGGAUUGGAGUCUGCAACUCGACUCCAUGAAGUCGGAAUCGCUAGUAAUCGUAGAUCAGAAUGCUACGGUGAAUACGUUCCCGGGCCUUGUACACACCGCCCGUCACACCAUGGGAGUGGGUUGCAAAAGAAGUAGGUAGCUUAACCUUCGGGAGGGCGCUUACCACUUUGUGAUUCAUGACUGGGGUGAAGUCGUAACAAGGUAACCGUAGGGGAACCUGCGGUUGGAUCACCU